Molecule: ribosomal RNA, 888 nt
Filed under: Galerina aff. muscolignosa
Lineage: Eukaryota; Fungi; Basidiomycota; Agaricomycetes; Agaricales; Galerinaceae
Description: partial large subunit ribosomal RNA
Rfam family: Eukaryotic large subunit ribosomal RNA
Source: RNAcentral
AUAUCAAUAAGCGGAGGAAAAGAAACUAACAAGGAUUCCCCUAGUAACUGCGAGUGAAGCGGGAAAAGCUCAAAUUUAAAAUCUGGCGGUCUUUGGCUGUCCGAGUUGUAAUCUAGAGAAGUGUUAUCCGCGCUGGACCGUGUACAAGUCUCCUGGAAUGGAGCGUCAUAGAGGGUGAGAAUCCCGUCUUUGACACGGACUGCCAGGGCUUUGUGAUGCGCUCUCAAAGAGUCGAGUUGUUUGGGAAUGCAGCUCAAAAUGGGUGGUAAAUUCCAUCUAAAGCUAAAUAUUGGCGAGAGACCGAUAGCGAACAAGUACCGUGAGGGAAAGAUGAAAAGAACUUUGGAAAGAGAGUUAAACAGUACGUGAAAUUGCUGAAAGGGAAACGCUUGAAGUCAGUCGCGUUGGCCAGGGAUCAACCUUGCUUUUGCUGGGCGUACUUCCUGGUUAAUGGGUCAGCAUCAAUUUUGACCGUUGGAUAAAGGUUAGGGGAAUGUGGCAUCUUCGGAUGUGUUAUAGCCCUUGGUCGCAUACAACGGUUGGGAUUGAGGAACUCAGCACGCCGCAAGGCCGGGUAUUUAUACCACGUUCGUGCUUAGGAUGCUGGCAUAAUGGCUUUAAUCGACCCGUCUUGAAACACGGACCAAGGAGUCUAACAUGCCUGCGAGUGUUUGGGUGGAAAACCCGAGCGCGUAAUGAAAGUGAAAGUUGAGAUCCCUGUCGUGGGGAGCAUCGACGCCCGGACCAGACCUUUUGUGACGGCUCCGCGGUAGAGCAUGUAUGUUGGGACCCGAAAGAUGGUGAACUAUGCCUGAAUAGGGUGAAGCCAGAGGAAACUCUGGUGGAGGCUCGUAGCGAUUCUGACGUGCAAAUCGAUCGUCAAUUGGG